UACGUAGGUGGCAAGCGUUGUCCGGAAUUAUUGGGCUUAAAGCGCGCGCAGGCGGAUCAGUCAGUCAGUCUUAAAAUAUCGGGGCUUAACCCCGUGAGGGGAUGGAAACUGCUGAUCUAGAGUAUCGGAGAGGAAAGUGGAAUUCCUCGCGUAGCGGUGAAAUGCGUAGAUAUUAGGAAGAACACCAAUGGCGAAGGCGACUUUCUGGACGAAAACUGACGCUGAGGCGCGAAAGCCAGGGGAGCGAACGGG
RNAcentral lists this ribosomal RNA (252 nucleotides) under uncultured bacterium. Its description in RNAcentral is "partial 16S ribosomal RNA". It matches the Rfam family "Bacterial small subunit ribosomal RNA", at positions 524 to 776 of the family's 1533-position model. The record is from RNAcentral.